GACGAACGCUGGCGGCGUGCCUAACACAUGCAAGUCGAGCGAGGAGAUUCCUUCGGGAUGAUCCUAGCGGCGGACGGGUGAGUAACACGUGGGCAACCUGCCUCAUAGAGAGGAAUAGCCUCCCGAAAGGGAGAUUAAUACCUCAUAACAUUGCAGUUUCGCAUGGAACAGCAAUUAAAGGAGCAAUCCGCUAUGAGAUGGGCCCGCGGCGCAUUAGCUAGUUGGUGAGGUAACGGCUCACCAAGGCAACGAUCAGUAGCCGACCUGAGAGGGUGAUCGGCCACACUGGAACUGAGACACGGUCCAGACUCCUACGGGAGGCAGCAGUGGGGAAUAUUGCACAAUGGGCGAAAGACCUGAUGUAGCAACGCCGCGUGAGCGAUGAAGGCCU
This 391-nucleotide ribosomal RNA is filed under the name uncultured bacterium. RNAcentral's name for it is "bacterial SSU rRNA". It matches the Rfam family "Bacterial small subunit ribosomal RNA", at positions 28 to 417 of the family's 1533-position model. The record is from RNAcentral.